UAGGGAAUCUUCCGCAAUGGACGAAAGUCUGACGGAGCAACGCCGCGUGAGUGAAGAAGGAUUUCGGUUCGUAAAACUCUGUUGUUAGGGAAGAAAAAAUGUAUAGUAACUAUAUACAAAAGAGACGGUACCUAACCAGAAAGCCACGGCUAACUACGUGCCAGCAGCCGCGGUAAUACGUAGGUGGCAAGCGUUGUCCGGAAUUAUUGGGCGUAAAGCGCGCGCAGGUGGUUUAGAAAGUCUGAUGUGAAAGCCCACGGCUCAACCGUGGAGGGUCAGUGGAAACUAAUAAACUUGAGUGCAGGAGAGGAAAGUGGAAUUCCUAGGGUAGCGGGGAAAUGCGUAGAGAUUAGGAGGAAAACCGGUGGGGAAAGCGGCUUUUUGGCCUGCAACUGACACUGAGGCGCGAAAGCGUGGGGGGCAAACAGG
Molecule: ribosomal RNA, 429 nt
Filed under: Verrucomicrobiota bacterium
Lineage: Bacteria; Pseudomonadati; Verrucomicrobiota
Description: Verrucomicrobia bacterium partial 16S ribosomal RNA
Rfam family: Bacterial small subunit ribosomal RNA
Source: RNAcentral